GACGAACGCUGGCGGCAUGCCUAACACAUGCAAGUCGAGCGAGUAGAUCCCUUCGGGGUGAAGCUAGCGGCGGACGGGUGAGUAACACGUGGGCAACCUGCCUCAUAGAGGGGAAUAGCCUUCCGAAAGGAAGAUUAAUACCGCAUAAGAUUGUAGUGCCGCAUGGUAUAGCAAUUAAAGGAGUAAUCCGCUAUGAGAUGGGCCCGCGGCGCAUUAGCUAGUUGGUGAGGUAACGGCUCACCAAGGCGACGAUGCGUAGCCGACCUGAGAGGGUGAUCGGCCACAUUGGGACUGAGACACGGCCCAGACUCCUACGGGAGGCAGCAGUGGGGAAUAUUGCACAAUGGGGGAAACCCUGAUGCAGCAAUGCCGCGUGAGUGAUGACGGCCUUCGGGUUGUAAAGCUCUGUCUUCGGGGACGAUAAUGACGGUACCCGAGGAGGAAGCCACGGCUAACUACGUGCCAGCAGCCGCCGUAA
This 478-nucleotide ribosomal RNA is filed under the name uncultured bacterium. RNAcentral's name for it is "partial 16S ribosomal RNA". It matches the Rfam family "Bacterial small subunit ribosomal RNA", at positions 28 to 523 of the family's 1533-position model. The record is from RNAcentral.